Molecule: ribosomal RNA, 496 nt
Filed under: uncultured bacterium
Lineage: Bacteria
Description: bacterial SSU rRNA
Rfam family: Bacterial small subunit ribosomal RNA
Source: RNAcentral
GACGAACGCUGGCGGCGUGCUUAACACAUGCAAGUCGAGCGGUAAGGCCCUUUCGGGGGUACACGAGCGGCGAACGGGUGAGUAACACGUGGGUGACCUGCCCUCAGCUCUGGGAUAAGCCUGGGAAACUGGGUCUAAUACUGGAUAUGACUCCACGGUGCAUGUCGUGGGGUGGAAAGCCUUGUGCGGCUGAGGAUGGGCCCGCGGCCUAUCAGCUUGUUGGUGGGGUGANGGCCUACCAAGGCGACGACGGGUAGCCGGCCUGAGAGGGCGACCGGCCACACUGGGACUGAGACACGGCCCAGACUCCUACGGGAGGCAGCAGUGGGGAAUCUUGCGCAAUGGGCGAAAGCCUGACGACGCAACGCCGCGUGGAGGAUGAAGGUCUUCGGAUUGUAAACUCCUGUUGCCCGGGACGAAUAGCUCCGACCUAACACGUCGGAGUCUGCGGUACCGGGUGAGGAAGCCCGGCUAACUCUGUGCCAGCCGCCGCCGU